AGUGAACGCCGGCGGUAGGCCUAACACAUGCAAGUCGAACGAACCCUUCGGGGUUAGUGGCGGACGGGUGAGUAACACGUGGGAACGUGCCUUUAGGUUCGGAAUAACUCAGGGAAACUUGUGCUAAUACCGAAUGUGCCCUUCGGGGGAAAGAUUUAUCGCCUUUAGAGCGGCCCGCGUCUGAUUAGCUAGUUGGUGAGGUAAUGGCUCACCAAGGCUACGAUCAGUAGCUGGUCUGAGAGGAUGACCAGCCACAUUGGGACUGAGACACGGCCCAAACUCCUACGGGAGGCAGUAGUGGGGAAUCUUGCGCAAUGGGCGAAAGCCUGACGCAGCCAUGCCGCGUGGAUGAUGAAGGUCUUAGGAUUGUAAAAUCCUUUCACCGGUGAAGAUAAUGACUGUAGCCGGAGAAGAAGCCCCGGCUAACUUCGUGCCAGCCGCCGCAGUAA
RNAcentral lists this ribosomal RNA (449 nucleotides) under uncultured bacterium. RNAcentral's name for it is "partial 16S ribosomal RNA". It matches the Rfam family "Bacterial small subunit ribosomal RNA", at positions 29 to 523 of the family's 1533-position model. The record is from RNAcentral.